UACGUAGGGUGCAAGCGUUGUCCGGAAUUAUUGGGCGUAAAGAGCUCGUAGGCGGUCUGUCGCGUCGGCUGUGAAAACGCGGGGCUCAACCCCGAGCCUGCAGUCGAUACGGGCAGACUAGAGUGCGGUAGGGGAGACUGGAAUUCCUGGUGUAGCGGUGAAAUGCGCAGAUAUCAGGAGGAACACCGGCGGCGAAGGCGGGUCUCUGGGCCGUAACUGACGCUGAGGAGCGAAAGCGUGGGGAGCGAACAGG
Molecule: ribosomal RNA, 253 nt
Filed under: uncultured bacterium
Lineage: Bacteria
Description: partial 16S ribosomal RNA
Rfam family: Bacterial small subunit ribosomal RNA
Source: RNAcentral